Molecule: ribosomal RNA, 253 nt
Filed under: uncultured bacterium
Lineage: Bacteria
Description: partial 16S ribosomal RNA
Rfam family: Bacterial small subunit ribosomal RNA
Source: RNAcentral
UACAGAGGUCCCAAGCGUUGUUCGGAUUUAUUGGGCGUAAAGAGCGUGUAGGCGGCCAGGUAGGUCUGCUGUGAAAACUCGAGGCUUAACCUCGAGCUGUCGGCGGAAACCAUCUGGCUAGAGUCCGGAAGAGGAGAAUGGAAUUCCCGGUGUAGCGGUGAAAUGCGCAGAUAUCGGGAAGAACACCCGUGGCGAAGGCGGUUCUCUGGGACGGUACUGACGCUGAGACGCGAAAGCGUGGGGAGCGAACAGG